AUUCAUUAGAAAACUAAGAAGAAGAGAUGAGUCCAAAACGAUGGCCCAAAUCAUGAUGUUCGUUAUAAAGAAAAAAAGGUUUGGAGAGCCUUUUUGCUAAACUAUCGGCAACAAAGUAAAGAAGAGAUGAGUCCAAAACGAUGGCCCAAAUCAUGAUGUUCGUUAUAAAGAGAAAAAGGUUUGGAGAGCCUUUUUGCUAAACUAUCGGCAACAAAGUUGUCCGAUUUAGAAACAUGAUAGAAAGAAAUUGUUGCAAAACCAGAGGAGAUCGCUCGGAUGCCUUUCACAAUUCCGAUGUUUUUUUUUGACUGGAUGUUGCCGGAGAUAGCUCUUGCGAACGUUAAACUGUCGGAGAGAACCUUGAGUGUAGAGAACUCCAAGGUUAGUGCUAAGUGUCGAUCGAAUCGUGAUGGCCUUCUCCAACGCAGAUUCUAGCGCCAUGCACUAGAGAUGUAUUCUAGGUUGCCAAUCGCAAAGAUGGUGACUUGAGAACGACGACCCAUCUCCUUCUCCAACGCAGAUUCUAUACACGCACGGACACGACCAGGCUCAACCCCGUCCGGAACCGGACACGAGUUCAUGUCCCACCAAACUAACGUCCGCUUUUUUAACGCUAACGCAUCACCUAAUCAACCAAACCAUUAUCGAAUCAAUCAACGGAAAUAAUCUGAAAUAAUUGACAAUCCAAAACUACUUACCACCUCCUCCCAUAUCAACAACGAAGAAUUUUUGAUCGGCUUAGGGUUUCAGAAUUAUUUAUAUAUAUAUAUAUAUAUGCUAUGCACCAAACUUAUGGGCCUAUGUCUUGGGCUAUCUAAACUUAUGGGCUACCGACUUUAAUAUUCAUUUCCUUCUUCUCAAGUGUUAAAAAUCAGAGUCAUGGUAAUCUGGCUUUUGAAUAAAAUUCAUCUUUAUAUAAUGCUUUAGUUACGUACUUUUCACGUUACCCUUUCACCCCAUCAUAAACUACGUACAUGCAUGCAUACACUGCUCAAUCAUAUGCUUAAUGUUUAAUAUAAUUUAUUCUAAGACAUACUAUAGUCUACAU
RNAcentral lists this long non-coding RNA (1048 nucleotides) under Brassica napus (rape). RNAcentral's name for it is "long non-coding RNA (BNAP_LNC000870)". The record is from RNAcentral. Lineage: Eukaryota; Viridiplantae; Streptophyta; Magnoliopsida; Brassicales; Brassicaceae.